This is a non-coding RNA of Paramuricea clavata, 1525 nucleotides long. The record is from the annotation of a GenBank genome assembly. NCBI's taxonomy places the organism in Eukaryota, Metazoa, Cnidaria, Anthozoa, Malacalcyonacea, Plexauridae.
CCGUAACAUAACGAUAGAAGCAGGUUUAAUAUUGGUUUAUUUCCACGUAGGUAUAACAAUCCAAUCAAGUACACACGACAGUACAGAAGAUUCAUGUACGGCCCUCAGGCUAUAUCAACGUUAUAAGGAACUCAUGCAGAAAGGUGAACAGGAAUUUCACGGAACUUUGAACAGACUUUAUGAAACUGGACGAAGCCUAGCUUGGCAAGUGGAAGACUGAAUUUAAGAAAUGGGAAUUUCAAUUCCAUUGAAAUGUGAAGAAAUUAACCAUGACUGAUCUGAUGAAAGACUGCUGUGUAUUCCCGGGUGGUACGGACUGGCUUGGUUUACACUGUCAAAGUUUACUGUCGUUCCAAUUGAAGUGUUGGCAGUGUUGCUCAAAUAUUGAUUCAAUACAUUACCUCGGGCUGACCAAUUCAUUUCUCAUCAAGUUCCUCGAGAUAUUCAUACACUUCCUAGUAUAAUUGUAAACUUCCUGUUGAAUAGUUUGAAUGCACCAAUCACCUUUGUUGUUUGUGCAACUAACCAAUCAUAAAUAGAAAGGAAGUGACCAGAAAUGAUCAAAUACUUGGAAUUGGCUCUUUCACAGGAAGUGUAUGAAUAUCUUGAGGAACUUGAUCAAAUGAAUUGGUCAGCCCGAGGUAAUGUAUUGAAUCAAUAUUUCAGCAACACUUCAAUUGGAACGACAGUAAUAACUCCUGAGUCAGUUCCCUCAAAUAUUUCUUACAAAUCCUUCAAAAUUCCUACUGUGAUCACAGAAACUCUGAUAGUGUAAACCAGCCUUUAUACAAAUCAAUGUACAAUCUUAGAAAGCUUGAAAACAUAGCGCUGCAUGGCAUUCGACCAGUACAACCGCCCCUGCAUGUUACAUAAUGGAGAGGUUCAGAUCUGACUUCAAUACCGCUACCAUUAAGGAAUUAUAAACCAAUCAGAUGCAUUUGAACUAUCCGUGAUUGACCAAUCAGAAAGGUACACACGCAAACGUUUCGCAUCUUGUAGCAAGUCUGCCAACAAGUUGUCUUCGCACUGCUUGUCCCAAGUUGUCAACAAGUUUGGAACAAACUGUUAACAACUUGUAACAACCGUGUUGAUAUUAUCAGACUUGUUGCAAGGUUGUUCCAACAAGUCCGAUACAGUCAUGAUAUAACAAUAUUGUUACAACUUUGUGUCAUCAACCUCGUAACAUUCUUGUUAUAUCAUGACUGUAUCAUAGAACAACUUUGCUACAAGUCUGAUAAUGUCAUCAAGCUUGUUUAAUACAAGUUGUUAACAGCUUGUUCCAAACUUGUUACAACAACUGGGAACAAGCAGUGCGAACACAACUUGUUGACAGGUUGUGAACAGAUUUGUAACAACUUGUUUGCAGACCUGUAACACUUGUGCGUUUUUACGUGUGUAGUCACUGUAGUGGUGGCGAUGGAAGUCAAAUCUGAACCUCUCUAAUGAAUCGAAUCAACAUGCAUGAUAUGUAAAUAUAUGACAUAUGUAAAAUAAUUUUGAAUAAAGUUAUUCUCCUAUAAAGUUA